AACGCACAUUGCGCCCCUUGGUAUUCCGAGGGGCAUGCCUGUUCGAGCGUCAUUAUAACCACUCAAGCCUAGCUUGGUAUUGGGGUUCGCGGUCUCGCGGCCCUUAAAAUCAGUGGCGGUGCCUUCUGGCUCUAAGCGUAGUAAUUUUUCUCGCUACAGGGUCUGGUGGUCACUUGCCAUUAACCCCCUAUUUUCUCAGGUUGACCUCGGAUCAGGUAGGGAUACCCGCUGAACUUAA
This 238-nucleotide unclassified non-coding RNA is filed under the name uncultured fungus. Its description in RNAcentral is "sequence contains ITS2". The stretch from base 1 to 52 matches the Rfam family "5.8S ribosomal RNA", at positions 103 to 154 of the family's 154-position model. Lineage: Eukaryota; Fungi. The record is from RNAcentral.